GGAAGAGCUCAAAUUUAUAAUCUGGCACCUUCGGUGUCCGAGUUGUAAUCUCUAGAAGUGUUUUCCGCGUUGGACCGCACACAAGUCUGUUGGAAUACAGCGGCAUAGUGGUGAAACCCCCGUAUAUGGUGCGGACGCCCAGCGCUUUGUGAUACACUUUCAAUGAGUCGAGUUGUUUGGGAAUGCAGCUCAAAUUGGGUGGUAAAUUCCAUCUAAAGCUAAAUAUUGGCGAGAGACCGAUAGCGAACAAGUACCGUGAGGGAAAGAUGAAAAGCACUUUGGAAAGAGAGUUAACAGUACGUGAAAUUGUUGGAAGGGAAACGCUUGAAGUCAGACUUGCUUGCCGGAGCUUGCUUCGGUUUGCAGGCCAGCAUCAGUUUUCCGGGGUGGAUAAUGACGGUUUGAAGGUAGCAGUCUCGGCUGUGUUAUAGCUUUCCGUUGGAUACGCCCUGGGGGACUGAGGAACGCAGCGUGCUUUUUGCGAAAGACUCGUCUUUUUCACGCUUAGGAUGCUGGUGGAAUGGCUUUAAACGAC
RNAcentral lists this ribosomal RNA (535 nucleotides) under Rhodotorula glutinis. Its description in RNAcentral is "eukaryotic LSU rRNA". It matches the Rfam family "Eukaryotic large subunit ribosomal RNA", at positions 101 to 648 of the family's 3401-position model. The record is from RNAcentral. Lineage: Eukaryota; Fungi; Basidiomycota; Microbotryomycetes; Sporidiobolales; Sporidiobolaceae.